RNAcentral lists this small RNA (132 nucleotides) under Salmonella enterica. RNAcentral describes it as "RtT sRNA". It matches the Rfam family "RtT RNA". From Rfam's summary of the family: This family represents a bacterial cis-regulatory element known as RtT RNA. The record is from RNAcentral. RNAcentral also lists the same sequence under 2 other names. Lineage: Bacteria; Pseudomonadati; Pseudomonadota; Gammaproteobacteria; Enterobacterales; Enterobacteriaceae.
AUAUCUCUCUGUACGGGAAGGAUGAGAAGCUUCGACUAAGGUUCGAUUCGAGCGUCAGCGAGAAAGCGUUGCCGCAGGAAACGACCCGAAGGGCGAAGCGCGCAGCGCUGAGUCAUCCUUCCCCCACCACCA